GCUGGCGGCGCGCUUAACACAUGCAAGUCGAGCGAGAACCAGGACUUCGGUCCUGGGGACAGCGGCGAACGGGUGAGUAACACGUGGAUAACCUGCCCUCGGCACCGGGAUAGCCCGGGGAAACCCGGAUUAAUACCGGAUGGCCCUUCCGGCUCACGAGCCGGUCGGAAAAGGUAGCUUCGGCCUCCGGCCGAGGAUGGGUCCGCGGCGGAUUAGCUUGUUGGUGGGGUAACGGCCUACCAAGGCUCCGAUCCGUAGCUGGUCUGAGAGGACGAUCAGCCACACUGGGACUGAGACACGGCCCAGACUCCUACGGGAGGCAGCAGUGGGGAAUCUUGCGCAAUGGGCGAAAGCCUGACGCAGCGACGCCGCGUGAGGGAGGAAGGCCUUCGGGUUGUAAACCUCUUUCAGGAGGGACGAAGCUACUCGGGUGAACAGCCCAGAGGGUGACGGUACCUCCAGAAGAAGCCCCGGCUAACUACGUGCCAGCAGCCGCGGUAUUACGUAGGGGGCAAGCGUUGUCCGGAUUUACUGGGCGUAAAGAGCGUGUAUGCGGCCAAACA
This 563-nucleotide ribosomal RNA is filed under the name uncultured soil bacterium. Its description in RNAcentral is "bacterial SSU rRNA". It matches the Rfam family "Bacterial small subunit ribosomal RNA", at positions 35 to 585 of the family's 1533-position model. The record is from RNAcentral.